GGCCUCCUGGUGUUUACUACAGGUUAUAUUCUUACAUUGACUGUAUAGAAAGUGGAGGCAUAGUAAACCUACACGAUAUGCACAGCAGCCCAGGCUCUGUGCUUGGUAUUUAUGGUGCAUGGGGAGACAUGG
This is a small nucleolar RNA of Perognathus longimembris pacificus (Pacific pocket mouse), 132 nucleotides long. RefSeq annotates it as small nucleolar RNA SNORA51. Lineage: Eukaryota; Metazoa; Chordata; Mammalia; Rodentia; Heteromyidae. The record is from RefSeq and is a predicted model, not a curated record. The transcript has a single exon.